RNAcentral lists this ribosomal RNA (432 nucleotides) under uncultured bacterium. RNAcentral describes it as "bacterial SSU rRNA". It matches the Rfam family "Bacterial small subunit ribosomal RNA", at positions 29 to 510 of the family's 1533-position model. The record is from RNAcentral.
AACGAACGCUGGCGGCAUGCCUAACACAUGCAAGUCGAACGAACCCUUCGGGGUUAGUGGCGCACGGGUGCGUAACACGUGGGAAUCUGCCCUUUGCUUCGGAAUAACAGUUAGAAAUGACUGCUAAUACCGGAUGAUGUCGUAAGACCAAAGAUUUAUCGGCAAAGGAUGAGCCCGCGUAGGAUUAGGUAGUUGGUGGGGUAAAAGGCCUACCAAGCCGACGAUCCUUAGCUGGUCUGAGAGGAUGAUCAGCCACACUGGGACUGAGACACGGCCCAGACUCCUACGGGAGGCAGCAGUGGGGAAUAUUGGACAAUGGGCGAAAGCCUGAUCCAGCAAUGCCGCGUGAGUGAUGAAGGCCUCGGUGUAAGCUCUUUACCUAGGAUGAUAAUGACAGUACCUGAGAAUAAGACUCCGGCUAACUCCGUGCCA